This is a long non-coding RNA of Peromyscus californicus insignis, 8521 nucleotides long. RefSeq lists it as uncharacterized. The transcript is spliced from 7 exons. NCBI's taxonomy places the organism in Eukaryota, Metazoa, Chordata, Mammalia, Rodentia, Cricetidae. The record is from RefSeq and is a predicted model, not a curated record.
AAAGAACCACAGACGGGGUGAACACAGAGAUUUGGGGACACUCAAGAGACUGAAAAUAGCUCUUUCUGCAGCCCACUCCACUGAAGCUCAGAACAGGGGGGCCAUGGAUACAGGCCGUACUACACGCAUCACCUCCAGGUCUCAUCCUGGUGCCUAGGGAGCCAGGACAGCUGUGCUUGGGUCUGUAACUCAGAGCCUGACCAGAGCCUGGGAGAUUCAGGCACAGACAGGCUCUGCCUUAGGAGGGAAGCAAGUGAGACUCACUGGCUUGGAGACCCGCAGAGCUUGAAAAACAACAAGCCAAUUUGCUGGAAAGGUGCCGGGCCAGCACAGGCAGAGCCGGGGAGUGCUGGUUACUGCCUGCCUCACAGCAGGCCCUCUCAGCACCCCAGGCUCACAGCCAUCAGGAGGAGGAAGCAGCGGAGAGAAAGAACUUUAUUUCAGAGGCCGAGUCUUCAUGCUAGAAUGAAGAGAAAGCACUUGAGAUGAGGAAGCAGAGGCAGAGCCUGAAGUGCCCUGCCCAAGGUUGCAAUGCUGAGCCAUCCUUUUCCCGGUGACUUCAAGGAGAACAACAAGGGAACUAUGAAGUCACACAAAGAAGUUAGCUAGAGGAGUGCCCCUGGUUCUCUCAUCGGGAAGAGGAUCGUUCUGCGAGGCAGGAAGCACAGCCUUGGUUAACGGCUGCCUGGGUCUCACUGUAGAGUCCCGGAUAGACUGGAACUCUCUAUGUAGAUCACGCGGGGCUCAAAUCCAGAGAGAUCUGCCUGCUAGAAUUAAAGGAACUCCAGGUCUGCUUCAUGCUGGCUCAUCCUGAAGGUCUUUUCUGAGGUGAAGUCAAUAACCCCAGCUUCACCCGACUGGAGUGAAGAGAACUCGGGCUGCUGCAGCUGGCUGUGUGGAGCUGUGUCUCUGGCCAGUGUGGUGGGAGAGCUGAGUGCUGUGAGGAGGGAGAAAGGAAGGGUUGGAGAAGGAGCAAUGCCCCCCCCCCCCGCAACCCUCCCACACCACUGCAGGUUGUCGGGAUGCUGUGGGCUGGUGGCUCAGGGCAGAAGUUGUGAGUGCUGUGACCGUGGGGAGUCAUGGAAAAUCACUGAGGUACUGAGUCAGGAGCCAGGUUCUCCUCCAUAUCCUGCCUUUCUUGAGGCCUCUGGAGCCACUCUGGGAGGUACUAGAACAUUUCUAAGCUGGCCACAGUUCACAGGCAUUCCACUUUCCCUUCCACUGGAUUCCCCACCACCCUCCACGGUCAACUCACUGGAGAAACAGACUAGCUGGGGUUAAGGCUUCAUGCUUCUCAGGCCAGGUUGUGGCAGGCUAUGGGGACAUGCACUCAGACCAAUGGUAGGGGCAAUGGAGAAUGUGGUGGGAAGAGUCUGGAUACAGUGCAGUCUUGGGGCCUCACCAACCCACAGGAAGCUCAGCACUGGACAGCUCUGCCAGGUGGCCCACAGGAGGACAGUAAGAAGGACCGGUACCCCAUACAUACCAAUCAUGGGUUCGGGCUGCCCCCAAGGGGUGUCACUUUGGAUCAGAGGUACUAACUACCAUGGCUAGUGACCAGAGGCUCAGCCACAGUGGUUUUUUUUUUUUUUUUUUUUUUUAAAUUUUAAGGCCAAUGCAGGAACCUGUGACUUCUGACUGCUGUUACAUGCACCCAACUUUAUCAAGGAACCCCCAAUCCUGGGGAACCCUCAAUCCUGGGGAACCUCCAAUCCUGGGGAACACCCAAUUCUGGGGCCAAACAAGUGGCAGGCAGGCUUUCAAACAUUCUAAACCAAAACAUUUUUGUUUUUUUGAGAUAGGGUUUCACGUCCAGGUUGGCUUUGAAUUCCUAAUUGUACCUCUACAUCCCAAGUGCUGGGACAGGAGGCAUGGAUCACCAUGCCUGCAAACCACAGCAGCAAACCAGAUGUUGCAAACAGCUCCCUUCAGUGUGAGACAGGGAUGGCCUUGACAUCUUACUAGGGGGUGGAAGUGGGAGACAGAUGACGGUGGUGGGGUGGAGAGAAAGGGCAGAAACAGCAGGGUUUAAAGACUUCUGUUUAAAAUGAAGCAGAAGAACUAGAGAGGUAGCAUGGCCUGGCUGUGAAGGUCUAUCAGGGAGAUGGGAGUGAUAGACAGCUUGCUCCUGCAUUGUUUCCUUGGAUCCUGGUUCCCACCCGCUGGGCUCUCUUUGAGGCCCAGCCUUUCCUCAGUGGCAGAAGCAAUGGCCAUUCUAUCCUCUGAGGCUUCCACUUCCUUCCAUACCCCAGUGCCUGUGAUGGCUGCCUCCUAGGAGCAACCCUCCAGUAAAUCUUCUGAGAUUAGCUGUCAACCAUCACUUCCCUAAACCAGCAGCUGCCACCGGCAUUGACAACAUGAGGAGUGCCUGGCUCAGCACCCAGGCCCCAGCACAGCUGAGACUGGAGAAAGGCGCAGAAGGUCUCCAUCUCAGCCUGUCCCUUCACUCCAGGGAACACGUCCCUAUGUGGACUUGAAAGGUGCAUGUUCCUGGCCCAUCCGUGGCCCAGCUGUGACAGGAUUACGUGUCCCCAAGAUCAUCCCAGGAAGAGAGCAGAGGCCAGAAUGUGGGGAAAUUGCCACAUGUCCAGAGAAACCUCUGUAGCAUUUUUAUCAACACAUUCAACUAAAAACAAAUGACACAAACCAUCUGGUUUGUUUAAUAAAUGGAGCAGCAUAAAUAACUAAGACCAACCUCUAAACAAACACCAAGGUAAUGAAAGCCAGUCAUUGUUCAGGAGCAAAGGUGUAAUCAAAUUCUAAUUUUCUAUUCCAAUAAACAUCUUUGAAUUAGUGCCUAUUCCACUAAUUAUGAAGAGUUUUUUUUAUUAGUGUUCUACUUGAUUAAUAAAGCACAAAACACAGAUUACCUAUAAUAUUACUCUCGGUUCCCAUGGGGAGUAUUGGGUGGCUUCUGCAUGUGUUUAAAUGCAAGAGAAGGCAUGAGAACAAGAAGAUGGGGGAGAGGGAGGGGAGCACAAGUCAGCUUUUUAAAAUUUGAAAGAGAGCAAGGAGGAGGGUCUAUGGAAGAGCUUGGAGAGUGGAAGGAAAGAGAAGGAGGAAAUGGUGUGAUUAUUUGUAAUCUCAAAAACAAAAGACAUAGUAAAAAAUUUUAAAAAGCAUUAAAUUUGUAAGACAAAAGCGAAGCCUCCUAGCACAGCGCCUCAGUGCCAAGGUGCUGUCUGGACAGAACAUUUCCGGUCAGCUUAAGCCUUGAGUUUCAGGAGGGAACUCCCUAACCUAUAUCCUAGCAGUGGCUAUAUCCUAGCGACUUGCGGAGGGUUGAAGAAGAGUGUUGUGAACUGCAGCAUUUGCUGACAAUCUCCAGAAAGAUGCUCUGCCCAGCAGCAGGGGCUUGUGCGAGCAACAGAAACUGGUUUAGGGAGGGCGGGGCCCCUAAAGCAUCAGUUCUGAAAUGUUCUUGAUGGAGGCCAGAGCAGAGUUGUGUUUUCUGUCUCUGCCGGCUCCUAAGUGAGCACCUCCUUCUUUCCUGAGCUCCCACCUACGACUCUAUAACAAGCCUCUCAUUAAGACUCUCCCUCUGUUGUCCGUGAAGUCUUCGAAUUUGAGAGACAAGAACUUGUAAGCCACUGGUUCAGAGUUUGGUUUGGUGGUUCCUGGGACCCUAGCUCCCUAAGAAAGUUUCUGCCUUUCUCAAAGACACCCCAAUACUCUCAUAUCUUGAGCAACCAGGCCCCAGAGUCCUGAUGUCAUGGGGCAAACACAGGGAGAGACGGCUCUGCCUUCAGUGGGGCUGUAGCUGCUGCCCAGGCCUGGGAGUGGUAUUGGGCAUCCAGAGGUUGAAAAGCUUCUCCCAGGCAAGUUGCAGGGCUGAAAGUAAACCUGCCCAGUGUCAGUUUGCAGCUUCUGGUGUGGACGGAGCAGUGGGAGCAGAGUUAAGUGUGAGCCUGUAGGGGCCAGGUUCAGAGCUUACUGAACCACAUUCACAAGGCUCAGAACGUGCAGGUCGACAUCUUUUUUUUUUUUCCCCCCAAGACAGGGUUUCUCUGUGUAGUUUUGGUGCCUGUCCUGGAUCUCGCUCAGAAAGAAUCAUUUAAGCCCUGCCUCUGCAGUGAUGCUCCACAUGUAAUGUCAUCAAUAAGAUGGUUGGCUUUUGCUCUUGUCCAUCUGGAAAAACCAGAGCCCCAAGAAUUAGGAGUAGGGCAGAGGUAUUCCUCAGAGGGCAGCAUAGGAGCUUCAUUGUUAAGGAAGUUCAUGUCUGGUGUCUCAGCCUUAACCCACCACAAGAACACCAUUGCUAAUUACUUUGGCUACUGACUGUCAUUUUUGUAGCUAGCCAUACUGUGCCCCAUGGUGGAAAAGCCUCUCUCACCUUUCCUAACCCUGGGCUUCAAAAGGCCACAGAACAUCAUUUACAUUGUAUAUCUGGUCACUAGGCCAGUAGACACCAUGUAUGGGACAUGUUGCUUUUGUGUCGCUGAUUGUCUAGACUACUAUGUGUGGUAGAAAAGACAUGUGGUAUCUUUCCCAAUGAACACAUAAAGAAAUUGAGGACCUGUGCUUUGGGUUGGAACUCAUCCCUCAUCAUGAUGAGUAGGCUUUGUUCAGAUUGUGUCUUGCUGCCCACCUUGCCUCCUCGGUGCAUAAACACUGAGCCUGUUUAUGAGGGAGCUGUGCCUUACCCAGUUGCAGACAGCUGUCCAAGGACACAGAGCACCAUAGUGACCAGGUGCUCAUGUGGUGAACAUCAGGAGCCCUCAGUGGGUAUCUGUGGUGGUUUGAAGGAAAAUUGUUCCCAAAGGGAGUGGCACUACUAGGAGCUAUGACUUUGUUGGAGUGGGUAUGACAUUGUUGGAGGAAGUGUGUCACUGUGGGGGUAGGCUUUGGGGUUCCCCAUGCUCAAGCUAUGACCAGUGAGACAGUUCACUUCCUGCUGCUUGUAGAUCAAGAUGUAGGAAUCUCACAGCCCCUUCUCCAGUGCUAUGUCUGCCUGCAUACUAUCAUGUCCUACCAUGAUGAUAAUGGGCUAAACCUCUAAACUGUAAGCCACUCCAAUUAAAUGUUUUCUUUAGAAUAGUUGUCAUGGUCAUGAUGUCUGUUCAUAGCAAUAGAAACCCUAACUAAGACAGAAGUUGGUACCAGGAACUAGGGUAUUACUGUGAUAGGCCUGACCAUGGUUUUUUUUUUUUUUUUUUUUUUUUGAAGGAAUAUGGAUCUUGGGCCUGUGGAUUAGAAAAGCAGUUGAACACUUUAAGUGCUGCUUAAUGGGCUAUCAUAGUAGGAACAUGGAAGGCAGUGGUGCUGAGUGUGACUUGAUGAACUGUGGGGCCCUGGCUCAAGAGGUUUCAGAGGAGAAGAAUUUUAUUAUGUUGCCUAGAGAUCAUUCUUGUGAUAGUUUGAAAAGUAUGUGACUGCUUUUUGUCUUUGUCCAAAAAGUCUGCCUGUGGCUAAAUUGAAGAGUUUCAGAUUAAUUCCACUGGCAGAAGAAAUCUCAAAACAGUACUACUCUGUCAUAUGGUACUAAUUCAAAUGAAGAUUUAUAAUGAAAAGAAGCAAGCUUAGUAAGGAAAAAUAUAAAAUGUACAAUUUGAGGAGAAAAGGAGCACCAGAAAGUAGAAUGGAGCUAAGUCCUGUGUUCAGGGAGAUAAAAAGAUUACAAAAUGGAAUAAGGGGAAUGGUGACCUCAGGGCAAGAUCCCACCCAGCUAAGUUUCGAAUUGUGAAAAGGAAUUAAAGAAAAGCUUAGAGCCAGGUGUGGUGGUGUAUUCCUUUAAUCCCAGCACCCCAGAGGCAGAAGCCGGCAGAUCUUUGAGUUUGAGGCCACUUGGUCCACAGAGCAAGUUCAAGGACAGUCAGGCUUAGUCAGAGAAGAAAACCAUGGAAAACAGAAAGUUGGUGAAGAUGUAACUGAAUGAGGGGGCCAUGUUCCAGACACAACAAGCAGUAGAACUUGGCAGCUUUGGCCACGUGCUUCUGACUUUAGAGUCAAAGAGUGACUAAGGAAAGCCACUGAGGACAGGCAUGUGUCAGGGGUACCCCUGAAUGGAGGCCUAGAGAUGCUGUUGCAUGAAGCUGUGAAGGUGAAGCCUGAUUUCCUCAGAGAUUCCAAGAUAUUGGAGAUACCAGAGCCAUGGGAUACCUGCCAAGGAGAGCUGCUAACAGGGAGUGGAACUAGCCCAACAGAGGGAAGUGUUUUACAGACAACAAAGCUGAAAGAAGUUAGAGAUCUGAAGAACAUGUUUACAUCAGACAUGGAGAUGCAGGGUUUGGAGUUUGCCCAGCUUGUUUUCAGUCUUGCUUUGGUCCAAUAUUUCCUCACUAUGCUCCCUUCUCUAUGUUUUGAAUGGUAAUAUAUAUCCUGUGCCAUUAUAUGUUGGAAGUAUGUGAUCUGCUUCUUGAUUUUGAUUUUGCAGGGGAUUACAGUUAAGAGACUGCACAAAUCUUGGAAGAGACUUUGAACUUUAGACUUUUAAAACAAAAAGAGGAAAUGUGGUGAUAUAUCGUGUACCCUAAUAAAAUUUUCCUGAAGGUCAGAGAACAAAACAAGCCUCUAGAUUAAACACAGAGGCCAGGCAGGGGUGGCACACACCUUUAAUCUCAGCACUCGGGAGGCAGAGCUCCAUCUGGAUCUCUGCUAAAAUAGUCAUGAAAUAGAUGAAAAGAAACAGAGAAUAAAGUGCCAAAUUAAGAAAGAAGCUGCCUUCAUGUGGCUUCGUGAAGAAGAGCAUUCAACGUAAGAAAGAACAGACUCUAUUCCAAAGAGUGAAAGAGCAUGAGACUCACAAGAUGUAUAGAAAAAACAGGCAAUGCAUAAAAAGAAAAAGUGGCGUCCAGCUCUCCCCUCUUAGCAGAGGGAAGGACAGCAGAAACCUCAUCCAGAAGAGCAGCAGUGGCCAUGAGGAGAAGGGAUUGGCAGUACCACCCUCAGGACAAGCAUGGGAGUCUUGCAAACCUCAGAUCCAUGGUCUUGGUGAGACAACAAUCCCUAGUAAGAAGGGCCAGUAGUGGAGAGGAGGAAUUUUCAUUCUCCUCAACUCAGAAAAAACCCUCCUUCAAAAAUGUGUCAUUCCAGAGGGCCUAAGAACAGGGAAGAGCUACUUCAGGGAGCCUGAAAUCCACCUGACCCAACCCUAAGGUGAAAGACAGUUACAGGAGGCAGCUGUGGAGAUCCAGGACCAAAUGCUGGCACACCGAAAGACACAGGUGCAGGAGACGUGGCUGAUGGAGUGAAGUGCACUCACAGGGAAAGCUUGCUCCAUCCUUAGUGUCUGGAAGCAGAUCUCAUCAACAGAAUAGGGCCGAUAGCCCCAGGAUUGAGAACAGCACUCUGGAGCCACUAGUGCAUUCUGAGACUCAUUGCCUUAGAAAGUGGGAACUCUGAAGCACCUGCAGGCUACUCUUUCUCUCUUAGCAGGCGUCCCUGGAAACCUCUCUCCUUCCACACCACCCCAACUAAAAAACCCACACUAUGCUCCUCCCUGCUACUUCCUGUCAACUGAUUGCUAACCCUGCCUCUCCGAGCCCAGGUUAAUGUUAUUAACACAAAUGCAACACAUCUUUACAUAACUAAACAAAUGCAGCAUCAACAAAUGUAACACAUCUUUGCCUAGAUAUCCAUGCCCUCAUCCCUCUGCAGGGUGUGUAACACUAGCAGGGUAUAAGAGGGUGGAGACAGCUCUCAGUGCUGUGGCUGCUUUCCCCUCUGAAUUUCCCUGGGAGACACCCCUUAGCUUAGAACAUUAGCCAUCACAGGUGGUAUGAACUGGGGAGUUUCAGGGGGGUGGUAAAACUUCCAAGUCCGCAGACUGAAAAGCUAAGUGUGGCCAGUAGGGGCCUCUGGUGUAAAAGAAGGGCAACAACUACUGUGAAGACAGCUGUGGCGUGUUGUGGAAUAUUUGUUUAACUAGGCAAAGAUGUGUUACAUUUGUUUAUGCUGCAUUUGUUUAGCUAUGUAAAGAUGUGUUGCAUUUGUGUUAAUAACAUUAACCUGGGCUCGGAGAGGCAGGGUUAGCAAUCAGUUGACAGGAAGUAGCAGGGAGGAGCACAGUGUGGGUUUUUUAGUUGGGGUGGUGUGGAAGGAGAGAGGCCCGCUAAGAGAGAAAGCUAGCCAGUUAUUGCUCUAACUCCCUGAGCUCACAGGUUUUCACCCUAGCCUUUGAACCUCAAACUUUAUUAGAACAAUAGUGAUAGCAAUUUAGUUAAAGCUACCUUUAGGGGCAGCAAUAGAGCCAUUGUCUGGGGGAAACAGAAUCCCCCACAGGCUACAGCCUUGGCCAGGCAGCUAGUAGUUAAAAGUGCAGCGCUGCGAUGAAAGGGAAGACAGCGGCAGUGGGCACAGGACACUUGCUGGGGACAGCCUCAGCCCCGGCAUAACUCCUAGGAAGCACAAGAGCCUACAAAUCAACUGUCCUCUCUCCUGUAUCUACCCAACAUUCCAAUUUUAAAGUCACAGGAAGAAGCUGUACCAACAAUUCACCUUUCCUUUAUUUUUUGAAAGUUGUUUCCCCCACUUUUUUCUUUUAAACUAUACUUUAAAAAAAUAAAUUUAUUUAUUUAUUUUA